GAGUUUGAUCGUGGCUCAGAUUGAACGCUGGCGGCAUGCCUUACACAUGCAAGUCGAACGGCAGCACGGGAGCUUGCUCCUGGUGGCGAGUGGCGAACGGGUGAGUAAUGCAUCGGAACGUAUCCUGGAGUGGGGGAUAACGUGGCGAAAGUUACGCUAAUACCGCAUAUUCUGUGAGCAGGAAAGCGGGGGACCUUCGGGCCUCGCGCUCUUGGAGCGGCCGAUGUCGGAUUAGCUAGUUGGUGAGGUAAAGGCUCACCAAGGCGACGAUCCGUAGCAGGUCUGAGAGGAUGAUCUGCCACACUGGAACUGAGACACGGUCCAGACUCCUACGGGAGGCAGCAGUGGGGAAUUUUGGACAAUGGGGGCAACCCUGAUCCAGCCAUGCCGCGUGAGUGAAGAAGGCCU
This 408-nucleotide ribosomal RNA is filed under the name bacterium enrichment culture clone ALO1_GLFRUDD03F6ZFX. RNAcentral describes it as "bacterial SSU rRNA". It matches the Rfam family "Bacterial small subunit ribosomal RNA", at positions 9 to 417 of the family's 1533-position model. The record is from RNAcentral.